UGUACAUGUGAAAACUGAACAAUUAUGGAAGCAAUUGAAGAGCUGCUGCCAAGAAAAGGAUGUCAUGGAGGAACUCAAUGAAUAUGAGGGACAUGGUGCAAACAACCUGCAUAACAGAUCACCCAGGAUUCAAAUCAAAGUGUCUGGAUGUUUGGGUGUUGCAGACAGCCUACCAAAGGUAUUCGAAGAGGGACAGACAACAAGCAGGUGAUCAGCCACGUAAUGAAAUGUAUCACUAUGUGGCAAACCGCCAGCUGGUGAGAUUUUGUUGGGGAAUACUUUGUAAAAACCACAGAAUGCCAUCAUGUGCCAUUCAAAAGAUCUGUGCUACGUUUCCAUCUGACAACUACACCUCGUUCAAGUAUCAGCACUUUAUUAGAGUCAAUAACAAAACACAAUGUCAGUUCAGUGAUUGAAUCUGCUUCUAUACAGCACAACAGCACCCCUCUUGUUUGGUUCUUCCAUCGACUGCUGAGUGGAGCUGGGACUUCGAAAGGUUCCUCAUCAACAUUGUCUUGGCACAAAGCAUUGAAAGCAUGUAUGUAUGUGUGUAUAUAUCUAAUAACAUUCAUAAUAAAAGAUGUGGUUAAAUCGAUUGAGAGAGCAAUGAUAUCAAAUUAAACAAAUAUAUGAAUUAUGUACAUGCAUGUGGUGAUUGUAUGUUUAACACGUCAUGUGCAGGUCUACUGGUACUACAACUGUAAUGUACAGAUGACGUACAGUCUGUAUACUUACUGGUGUACAGCUUCCUCCCCAGUGUGGAUGUCCAAUAGAUGGUCGCUGAUCAUACAGGUACCCUCAGUUCUGUCAGUGGCUUCAUUCACCAAAUGUUUCAAUACCUCUGUAAUAAUAGGGUGAUAGUUAAAAGUUAAAUAGACUCACGCUUUUACUCAAACUACAGAAUAAAAUGGGGAAGCCUGUUAUAAACAUUGAAUCUAUACUUAAUUAAGCUAAUGAAGUGUAAUUAGUUAUUAAUACUACAAACAAUAACACAGAUAUCGGCUAGGGCCUGGUGUAAACUCGUUACAUACAGUAGGCCUAGACCGAUUAUGGCUUUAUGCUUGAAACAAUAAAUACAGACACCCUCUCCACAUUUAAGAGCAG
RNAcentral lists this long non-coding RNA (1104 nucleotides) under Cottoperca gobio. RNAcentral describes it as "lncRNA (ENSCGOG00000019451.1)". Lineage: Eukaryota; Metazoa; Chordata; Actinopteri; Perciformes; Bovichtidae. The record is from RNAcentral.